UGGUCUUCACUUGGUGGAAGAACACACUCACAGAGCCUCACCUAGCGCGCUCUUGGCUACAUCUCUGGAAGGAUGGGGUGGUGGUAGCUUCCUAGGAAAGGUGGACACCAGGCUCACAGCAGCCACUUCCAAAGGCAGGAGAGCGGACAGCGGACAUUUGAGAAGGCCAGAGUAUCGUCACUCUUCCUCCCAAGACUCUGUAUCCAGGAGCUGGAUGAACCUGGUCUAGAUUAUCCUGAAGUCAGCGGUACUGAGGUGAAAUCCCAGACCUGACAUACACUGCGUGUGACCUAGACCAGUCGGACUACCUCUCCAGGCCUCCGGUCCCACAUGCCAGAAUCAAGGUCCAUGCUGCACAGUUGCCAUAGCGAUCAAGUAAAUGGAUGCAGAAAAGCUGCCAUGUGUUGGUCUCCUGGACACGGCACUUCAGAAUCUGCCGGUGCUCAACCCUGGAAAAAAUGGACCGUGUUUCUGCCUGACUGCCCAAACAGAGCUGCUGGCUCGGGGAGGACGCUGCUGCCCUCUUGCCAGGAUAGAUGCUUCUGCUUCCCUCCCCUUAGGAAGAGCAGACAGAGCAAGCUCCAGGAGGCUGCUGGGAGGGGAUCCAGAGCAUGCGUCCAAGAGCCGACCAGGGACAGAGACCAUGAGACCUUCCUGCCCGGAAGUUGUUUCUCCAUUGCUCAGUUGUGCAGAUGAAAACUGAGGAGUGCAUAGUGCAUUCUUUGGGUGUCAUUCCAGGAUGUCCCCACCUCAGCCAUCUCACACCUCCUCCCCACCACAGCCUGCUGGAAACAGGGCACAGAACCUCAGGGAAUGGCGGAACCCCAUUCACCUCCAAACUUUAAUAAACAGCGUUCUGAUAAGGCCAUGUAACCAGCAGUACCAUGAUUCAACGGCUG
Molecule: non-coding RNA, 899 nt
Organism: Peromyscus maniculatus bairdii (prairie deer mouse)
Lineage: Eukaryota; Metazoa; Chordata; Mammalia; Rodentia; Cricetidae
Source: RefSeq, a predicted model, not a curated record